Molecule: microRNA precursor, 60 nt
Organism: Oreochromis aureus
Lineage: Eukaryota; Metazoa; Chordata; Actinopteri; Cichliformes; Cichlidae
Source: Ensembl
ACUGAAAGGCUGCUGUGAAGGCUCGUGUUUGAUAAAUGAUUCUGCUGCACGCCUUUCAUU